RNAcentral lists this transfer RNA (78 nucleotides) under Candidatus Bathyarchaeota archaeon. RNAcentral's name for it is "tRNA-Arg". It matches the Rfam family "tRNA". Rfam says of the family: Transfer RNA (tRNA) molecules are approximately 80 nucleotides in length. Their secondary structure includes four short double-helical elements and three loops (D, anti-codon, and T loops). The record is from RNAcentral. RNAcentral also lists the same sequence under 1 other name. Lineage: Archaea; Thermoproteati; Candidatus Bathyarchaeota.
GGGCCCGUAGCUCAGCUUGGAUGGAGCGCCGGUCUGCGGAACCGGAGGUCCCGGGUUCAAGUCCCGGCGGGCCCGCCA